GUUUCUUUGGUGGGGGGAGAGAGAAAAGUCUCCCCUUUAAAUAAGGUUGGAGGGAAGAAGUUUGACUCCUCUUCGGGAUGUUUUUUGACUUCAAUUAAGAGUCAGUCGGGAGGAAGAAGAAGACUCUCGAGAGUCUUCUUCAUUUUUUUUUUGUUAGGCUUUGUGGGCCUUUGGGUUGGGUUUAAGGCCCAAAUGAGCCGGGUAUUACAUUCAGCCC
Molecule: long non-coding RNA, 217 nt
Filed under: Elaeis guineensis (African oil palm)
Lineage: Eukaryota; Viridiplantae; Streptophyta; Magnoliopsida; Arecales; Arecaceae
Description: long non-coding RNA (EGUI_LNC000314)
Source: RNAcentral